RNAcentral lists this unclassified non-coding RNA (2199 nucleotides) under Hevea brasiliensis (rubber tree). The record is from RNAcentral. Lineage: Eukaryota; Viridiplantae; Streptophyta; Magnoliopsida; Malpighiales; Euphorbiaceae.
AAAAAUUACGCAUUUAUUAAAGAUGAUGUGGCCUAUUUCACAAUUAAAAGAAUUUCAAUGGAAUUCAAUUAUAGAAAAAGAUAACAAUAACAAGUGACGUGGCAGGGCCUCAUUAGUGAAUCGAUGGGGUGGUACAUGUAUGUGCGCAUACGUCAGAAGUCAAAGAAAGGCACCGUCUACGCGCAACCGACUGUGAGCCCCAGAAGAAUCCAUUAAAAGAAAGAUCUGCCCUGCAUAGGUAACAAACAAAAACUUAACGCGGAAGUCAGGCUGCUGGUCUUGGAUUAGGCUCCAAGCCAGCUCCAGAAACAUAUAAAUAUCAAUAAAUCCAUCGUCUUCGUCUUCAUUGCUUUCCUGAAAACAUUAUUCCAAUUCAAGAAAAGAUCGUCAAACAUUAUUCCAAUCCAAGACAAGAUGGCUGCAGGAGGAACUGAAGCUUUUCCUGAUCUGGGUAGACAUUGUCAACAUUCAGAUUGCAAUCAACUUGAUUUCCUGCCUUUCAAAUGCCAAGGUUGUCAUAAGGUGUUUUGUCUAGAGCAUAGAUCCUACAAGUCCCAUGAUUGUCCUAAAUCAGAUCAUAAUAGCAGAAAAGUGGUGGUUUGUGAUAUUUGCUCCACGUCCAUUGAGACCACCGGAUGCCAUGAAGAUGAUGAGAAGUUGAUAUUGGAGAAACACGUCAAGUUUGGAAACUGCGACCCCCAAAAGAAGAAGAAACCUACCUGUGCCGUUAGGCGCUGCAAGGAGACUUUGACCUUCUCUAAUACAUGCAUUUGCAAAACUUGCCAAUUGAAGGUUUGUUUGAAGCAUCGUUUUCCAGCUGACCAUUCUUGUAAUAAGGCUUCGUCUGCCGCGGCUGCUGCUGCUAGUGGUGGGUGGUUUAAUAACAAGUUUCUGGGUGCUUUGGCUUCUAGGACGGGGAAAGAUUGUGCAAAAGAUCAGCCUUCAUCAAAACCCAAUAAUAAUACCUUAUCUGUCAAAGCAUUUUGAGGCUGACAACAAUACCCAUGCGAAUGUCUUAUGAACACAAGCAUUGUUAUGGCAUGAUUUGAUGUGACGUAAACAGUGCUUGCUUCCAAGAACAUCAAUGCUGGUGUCCCCAUUCUGUAAUUCUAUUCAAUUAAAUUGGAUUAUUUGGAAUUGAAUAAGACUUCUAAGUUUUUGUGAAAUGUGCUUUUCCACAAAAUAAAACUCUAAUACUUUUCAGACCCGGAGGAUAGAAACUUCAAAUGCCAACAUAAAUUUAUCAUCAUUGAAAUGCACUACAAUUGAAGGAUCUCCAAUCCCUAACAACAAUACAUUUGACUUGAUCAUCUCAUCCUGUUCAACCCACCAACAAUCACAAACAGUAUCUACUUUCAGGUCAUGCACACUAUUGCCAAGCAUAGCAAUCACAAAGUUUCAUGAUGACUUCCUGAUGCAGUAUUAGAAGAGGAUUAAAAUUAAGAAUUAUAUUUAUUGUACGAAUUAGGAAAUUCAGAAUUUUAUUAUUUAGAAAUUUUAUUAUUAUUGGGUUUAUUAUUAUUUUCCCAGUUUUAAGUUUGUUUAGAAUUCUUAAUUAGUAUUUGAUUAGGAUUUCUAAAUCCUAAUAUAAUUAGGAUUGUCAAAGCACUAUGAAUAGGCCUAGCUCUCUACAAAUUGAGCAUCCUUUGUUAUGACAUUAUUCAAUUGAGUAUUUAUAAUUUUGAGAAUUUGUUUCUCUCGGAAAUUAGUUUUCCAUUGGUUUUUCUCUGUGCUAUAUCACUUCCAAAAGAGACAAACCUCACUACUGGACAGGAUUACAUGUAGAUGUGGAAUCACUUUUCAUAGAAUUGUCGCAGUCACAAUGUUUUAAUAUUAUGUAACUCGGGCCAUUUCUAUUCUAUGAGAUUUUUAAUCUAAACAGCAAAUUGUCCACAAUGUUAUUAUGUGUGAAAGAAAGAAUGUAGUAAGCAUGAAAACUACAGUUGUCCCAAGCUUGUUGCUUACUACCAAUUUUAUGCAGUAUCAUGUAACAAAACAAGUAUAGAUAGCCAAACAAAUUGUUUUAUAAAAGCUAUACUUAUUUUAUACAGUAAGUUAAAGCAAUACCAUUGGUAUCCCCAUUUCUUUAGGGUCUUUGUCUUCCAUCUGCCUCAACAUGGUCAUGUCUACCAUAUGUGAUACUGUUUUCAUGAUGCCACUUGUUGGUGCCACCUAUGUUACUAGAUUGCCAGCUUGAGA